This 485-nucleotide ribosomal RNA is filed under the name uncultured bacterium. Its description in RNAcentral is "bacterial SSU rRNA". It matches the Rfam family "Bacterial small subunit ribosomal RNA", at positions 26 to 507 of the family's 1533-position model. The record is from RNAcentral.
CGAGGACGAACGCUGGCGGCGUGCCUAACACAUGCAAGUCGAACGGGGCUAUUAUGGAUUUCCUUCGGGGAAUGAAGUUUUAGCUUAGUGGCAAACGGGUGAGUAACGCGUGAGGAACCUGCCUUUCAGUGGGGGACAACAGUUGGAAACGACUGCUAAUACCGCAUAACAUACACGGACCGCAUGAUCUGUGUAUCAAAGCUUUAUGUGCUGAAAGAUGGCCUCGUGUCUGAUUAGAUAGUUGGUGGGGUAACGGCCUACCAAGUCGACGAUCAGUAGCCGGUCUGAGAGGAUGAACGGCCACAUUGGGACUGAGAUACGGCCCAGACUCCUACGGGAGGCAGCAGUGGGGAAUAUUGGGCAAUGGGGGAAACCCUGACCCAGCAACGCCGCGUGAAGGAAGAAGGCCUUCGGGUUGUAAACUUCUUUUACCAGGGACGAAGGACGUGACGGUACCUGGAGAAAAAGCAACGGCUAACUACGUG